AGUGAACGCUGGCGGUAGGCCUAACACAUGCAAGUCGAACGGCAGCACAGUAAGAGCUUGCUCUUACGGGUGGCGAGUGGCGGACGGGUGAGGAAUACAUCGGAAUCUACUUUUUCGUGGGGGAUAACGUAGGGAAACUUACGCUAAUACCGCAUACGACCUACGGGUGAAAGCAGGGGAUCUUCGGACCUUGCGCGAUUGAAAGAGCCGAUGUCGGAUUAGCUAGUUGGCGUGGUAAAGGCCCACCAAGGCGACGAUCCGUAGCUGGUCUGAGAGGAUGAUCAGCCACACUGGAACUGAGACACGGUCCAGACUCCUACGGGAGGCAGCAGUGGGGAAUAUUGGACAAUGGGCGCAAGCCUGAUCCAGCCAUACCGCGUGAGUGAAGAAGGCCUUCGGGUUGUAAAGCCCUUUUGUUGGGAAAGAAAAGCAGCAGGUGAAUACCCCGCUGUUCUGACGGUACCCAAAGAAUAAGCACCGGCUAACUUCGUG
Molecule: ribosomal RNA, 492 nt
Filed under: uncultured bacterium
Lineage: Bacteria
Description: partial 16S ribosomal RNA
Rfam family: Bacterial small subunit ribosomal RNA
Source: RNAcentral